CUCUGAUGGGUCUUGGGGGAGACCAAGGGUGCCCUGCUCAAUGUCAGCCCUGACUCUGUGCCACGUGCACUCAGCUCUGCCACGGAGGUGCAUGGCUCUGUAGACGUGGACGCCUCAGGGGUGACACCUCAGAGCUCCUGUUUACCUCUUUAGCCACCAGGAAGACAUUAGGACUCCCAGAGGGUGACUCCAGGGGCAGGUGGCUUGGAGGACUGGCCGUGCAAGGAGGCAGCAAAGGGGCGGCCAUCUGCAAGCUGAGGGCAGAGGCCUUGGAGGAAGCAGCCCUGCCAGUGCUGGUAACUCCUGCAGGUCGGAAGUCCAAACCAAGGUGCUGGAAGGGCUGGUUCCUUCCGGACCCUUCAGGGGAGAAUCUUUCUGCCUCUUUGGCUUCUUGAGGCCCCUUCCUGGCAUUGCUUCUUUCUCCACUGACUCCUACCAUCAGCGCUGAGUCCUGCCUGCCUCUUAUAAGAUCUUCAGAGGCCACCUGGGAUGUCAGAAGCUUCCAGGAACCAGGAGGUAGCUGCAUCUCCUGUCCCUUCCCUGAGUCACCUUGCUGGACUCCACAGUGUGGUGCAGACAAGAAGCUGCAGGGGACAACAUGGAAGGAAGCGGGGAUGGAGGAGAUGGAAUGGGAUGGGCUCUGGGCCCGGCCAAGCAGAGCAGGAUAGGGCUGAGAGUCAUCUGAGCACAGGUGGUUCAAAUGGCAGAGAAGCUCCACGCUGGAGCGGGGAAGAGCUUGGGCUUUCCGGCCAGAAAGCGCAGGUUUUGGCCACGGCUCUUCUGCCACUCACUAGAUGUGGGAGUUUGGAGGCGUUACCCGAGCUCUGAGCCUUACUUUCCUCAUCUGAAAAAUGGGAAUAAUGGUAGGGUUAAAUUAAACCAAAUUUGGUCUGAGGAUGCCUCUGCACUUUGAGUCCAACUGCGACCUUAGCAGCAAAUGAACUGCAGGCCUAGCUUAGGAGUGUACUUUUGUAAGAAAUAGCCGAGUCUUAGCCAAUCACAGCAGCUGAGCUUCUAUAAAUCGCAGGUGGCUGCUGAGUAGUCCAUGUUCAAACACGGCAAACCAAGCUGUGACCAAUGAGCUGUCUCUGCAGCUCACUUCCAUUUUCUGUCUAUAAACACUCCCUGCCCACACUGUGGAGUGGAGCUCAGCCCUUGGAACCUCUUCUGGUCUGAGGGCUGCCCACUUCAUGAAUCCUUUGCUUAAUUAAACUCAAUUCAUUUCAAAUGAAACUCAAUUGAUUGCUAGAUUAAUUUAAAUUUAAUUCGUCUAAAGUUUUCUUUUAACAGUUCCUACCUUGUUGAGUUGUCGUGG
This 1315-nucleotide long non-coding RNA is filed under the name Homo sapiens (human). RNAcentral's name for it is "HSALNT0356032". The record is from RNAcentral. Lineage: Eukaryota; Metazoa; Chordata; Mammalia; Primates; Hominidae.